RNAcentral lists this ribosomal RNA (765 nucleotides) under Phytopythium vexans. RNAcentral's name for it is "partial large subunit ribosomal RNA". It matches the Rfam family "Eukaryotic large subunit ribosomal RNA", at positions 37 to 630 of the family's 3401-position model. Lineage: Eukaryota; Oomycota; Peronosporomycetes; Pythiales; Pythiaceae. The record is from RNAcentral.
UGCAUAUCAAUAAGCGGAGGAAAAGAAACUAACAAGGAUUCCCCUAGUAACGGCGAGUGAAGCGGGAAGAGCUCAAGCUUAAAAUCUCUGUGCAAGUUUUGCAUGGCGAAUUGUAGUCUAUGGAUGCGCUAUCAGUACAGCCGCGCGGGCCAAGUUCCUUGGAAGAGGACAGCAUGGAGGGUGAUACUCCCGUUCCUGCCUGUGCGUGUUGUGCGUACGAUGCGUUUUCUUUGAGUCGCGUUGUUUGGGAAUGCAGCGCAAAGUAGGUGGUAAAUUCCAUCUAAAGCUAAAUAUUGGUGCGAGACCGAUAGCGAACAAGUACCGUGAGGGAAAGAUGAAAAGAACUUUGAAAAGAGAGUUAAAGAGUACCUGAAACUGCUGAAAGGGAACCGGGUCGUUGCCAGUGUCUAUAAUCUGCGGCAUAUUUCAUUGUCGGAUGCGGCCGUGCGGCGCGUUUGGUAGUGGGUUCGUCCUGCACCGCGUGUUGCUGUGGUUGUGUUUGGUGGUGCCCUGUGCUGUGGUGGGACGUCAGAGUCAGUUCGUAUGCUGCGGGAAAUGGCUGCUGGGGAGGUAGGUCGGGGGUUCGCCCUCGGCUGUUAUAUCCUGGUGGACUAGUCGUCGUGGUUGGGACUGAGGUGCCUACAACGUGCUUUUGAGUGUGGAGGUUUCUUCGUUUGCGCGUCGGUUGGAUAGCUUGCUAUGCAGUUGGCGUUGUGUGCGGAUGGAUGUCUUUGCUAACUUGUUGCCGUUCGGGACUUGACGAAA